RNAcentral lists this ribosomal RNA (254 nucleotides) under uncultured bacterium. RNAcentral describes it as "partial 16S ribosomal RNA". It matches the Rfam family "Bacterial small subunit ribosomal RNA", at positions 524 to 776 of the family's 1533-position model. The record is from RNAcentral.
UACGUAGGGGGGCUAGCGUUGUCCGGAUUUAUUGGGCGUAAAGGGCUCGUAGGCGGUUUGUCGCGUCGGGAGUGAAAACACGGGGCUUAACCCCGUGCCUGCUUCCGAUACGGGCAGACUAGAGGUAUGCAGGGGAGAACGGAAUUCCUGGUGUAGCGGUGAAAUGCGCAGAUAUCAGGAGGAACACCGGUGGCGAAGGCGGUUCUCUGGGCAUUACCUGACGCUGAGGAGCGAAAGUGUGGGGAGCGAACAGG